UGGGGAAUAUUGGGCAAUGGGCGAAAGCCUGACCCAGCAACGCCGCGUGAAUGAUGAAGGCCUUCGGGUUGUAAAAUUCUUUGGACAGGGACGAAGAAAGUGACGGUACCUGUAGAACAAGCCACGGCUAACUACGUGCCAGCAGCCGCGGUAAUACGUAGGUGGCGAGCGUUGUCCGGAAUCACUGGGCGUAAAGGGUUCGCAGGCGGAAAUGCAAGUCAGGUGUAAAAGGCAGUAGCUUAACUACUGUAAGCAUUUGAAACUGCAUAUCUUGAGAAGAGUAGAGGUAAGUGGAAUUUUUAGUGUAGCGGUGAAAUGCGUAGAUAUUAAAAAGAAUACCGGUGGCGAAGGCGACUUACUGGGCUCAUUCUGACGCUGAGGAACGAAAGCGUGGGUAGCAAACAGG
RNAcentral lists this ribosomal RNA (406 nucleotides) under Verrucomicrobiota bacterium. RNAcentral's name for it is "Verrucomicrobia bacterium partial 16S ribosomal RNA". It matches the Rfam family "Bacterial small subunit ribosomal RNA", at positions 355 to 776 of the family's 1533-position model. The record is from RNAcentral. Lineage: Bacteria; Pseudomonadati; Verrucomicrobiota.